Molecule: long non-coding RNA, 248 nt
Filed under: Spirodela polyrhiza (greater duckweed)
Lineage: Eukaryota; Viridiplantae; Streptophyta; Magnoliopsida; Alismatales; Araceae
Description: long non-coding RNA (SPOL_LNC001188)
Source: RNAcentral
CACUGCACUAGUAUUGCAAGAUUAUGUUAGCACACUAUAAGGAUAGGUGAAUAAACAGCCUGCGACAACAUCGGCUGAUCGUUUUACACUACGAAGCAUUAGUUACAAAAAUACUAUAUGAUUACCUGACGUCAAACAUUAUUCUUUUAAAAGAUUGGUAAAAGCUUUUCUUCAGGUUAUCAGGAGUGAAACUGGAACUGGGGACCAGCUUUUGCAUCGCUUUGUCUCACCUGAAUAAUCACAUAAAU